GAACUUCGGCUCGAACAUCCAACCUAGGUUUGAUAUAACACAACCUGUGUGUUUGGUACCAUCAAGACAAAAAUAACACUGAUCGAGCAAAACUUAUCUUGUCUCGGUUUCUUUGUUGUCUCUGAAGAUUUGACUGCCAUAAAAAAUAUUAAUCGAGAUUCUUUUGUUAUGUUAAUUUAAAGCUUUGUAAUAUUGUCUCGUUUAAUAUGCUUAAAUGUCACUGCAGCCCACGUGAAUUUAUCUUCAAGAAAAGGUUUGUUUUUCUUUGUCCAAGUUGUUUCGAAACUUGUUAACAAUCAUUUGUUAUCAAACCAUGCACCAUCAGCAUUUUCGAAAAAUCUUCAACGAGAGAAAUUUUUUAAGGAUUUUAUUGGUAACUUAACACAGUAAUAAUUCAUUAAAAUUUAAAUUGUUCAGAAGUUAUUAUAUAUAUUCGAAUCAUGAAGUUCAUACAUAGCAAUCCUGCAUCCUGGAAUUUUCGAGAUCAGUUAUAAAAAAAUCCAGUUAAAGUUUUAACUAUUGUUUUAGAAUAUAUACUAUAUAUAUGUAAAAAAAAAUUUAUUUUUUAUUUAUCAAGUUGUAUUUUACGUUAAUUACAAUAAUAAUUGAGAAUUAGGAUA
Molecule: long non-coding RNA, 620 nt
Organism: Hydractinia symbiolongicarpus
Lineage: Eukaryota; Metazoa; Cnidaria; Hydrozoa; Anthoathecata; Hydractiniidae
Exons: 2
Source: RefSeq, a predicted model, not a curated record